RNAcentral lists this ribosomal RNA (253 nucleotides) under uncultured bacterium. Its description in RNAcentral is "partial 16S ribosomal RNA". It matches the Rfam family "Bacterial small subunit ribosomal RNA", at positions 524 to 776 of the family's 1533-position model. The record is from RNAcentral.
GACAGAGGCCUCAAGCGUUAGGCGGAAUCACUGGGCUUAAAGCGUGUGUAGGCGGAUCGUUAAGUGCCUUGUGAAAUCCCACGGCUUAACUGUGGAACGGCUGGGCAUACUGGCGGUCUUGAGCCAUCUAGGGGCGACUGGAACAAACGGUGGAGCGGUGAAAUGCGUAGAUAUCCGAAGGAACACCGGUGGCGAAAGCGGCUCACUGGGUCUUUUCUGACGCUGAUGCACGAAAGCUAGGGGAGCAAACGGG